RNAcentral lists this transfer RNA (87 nucleotides) under Escherichia coli. RNAcentral describes it as "tRNA-Leu". It matches the Rfam family "tRNA". From Rfam's summary of the family: Transfer RNA (tRNA) molecules are approximately 80 nucleotides in length. Their secondary structure includes four short double-helical elements and three loops (D, anti-codon, and T loops). Further hydrogen bonds mediate the characteristic L-shaped molecular structure. tRNAs have two regions of fundamental functional importance: the anti-codon, which is responsible for specific mRNA codon recognition, and the 3' end, to which the tRNAs corresponding amino acid is attached (by aminoacyl-tRNA synthetases). tRNAs cope with the degeneracy of the genetic code in two manners: having more than one tRNA (with a specific anti-codon) for a particular amino acid; and 'wobble' base-pairing, i.e. permitting non-standard base-pairing at the 3rd anti-codon position. The record is from RNAcentral. Lineage: Bacteria; Pseudomonadati; Pseudomonadota; Gammaproteobacteria; Enterobacterales; Enterobacteriaceae. RNAcentral also lists the same sequence under 5 other names.
GCGAAGGUGGCGGAAUUGGUAGACGCGCUAGCUUCAGGUGUUAGUGUUCUUACGGACGUGGGGGUUCAAGUCCCCCCCUUCGCACCA